UCUCCUUCACACUCUCCCCACUGCUGGAGGCUCAGUUCAUUCAACGUGGACAGUCUCCCCUUCCAUUCCUGACCACUUCCCUUUUGACCUGUAACGCCGGGAAGGGCAGAGGCUGGGCUUAUUUGCUAUGACUAGAUCCAGGGAGUCAGUGGGAGGCAGAAGCGCAGCCAGCUCAGCGGAGCAGUACAUAAGGAGCUUAUGAGCCCUGUCUGGCUCAGCAAUGUGUAAAGCGCUCUCACACUGAGAAGGGACGCCAGCCAGGUCGGACUUGACUUUUCCCAGGGAAGAGCACAGCUGCGAGGGAGAGAAGACGGAUCAAGCGCUCCAGCUCACCUUCUGCUCCUUCUUGCAAAAGAGUUCAGAACCUGGAGAUUUCAGACGCCCGAACGACAGAAUGAAGGUCUUCUGGACUCUGCUGGUGGUCUCACUUCUGGCAGAUGAGUGUGCUGCUGUUCAUGUGUCUCGAACACGGAGAGAACUGGCUCCAGGACUGCACAAACAGGGAAUUCGAGAUGCCGGGGGCUCGUACUGCGAGCGCCAGGAUGCCUGUUGCCCCGGGAGGAAUGACGCUUGCACGGUGCCUUACCUUGAUACCAUUUGCUACUGUGACCUGUUCUGCAACCGCACCGUCUCAGAUUGCUGUCCCGAUUUUUGGGAAUACUGCUUGGGCAUUGAGCCUCCAUUUACGGCGCACAAGGGCUGCAUCCGCGAUAGUCACAGAUUCCCAACAGGUGCAACCUACAGAGAUAACUGCAACCUCUGCACUUGCAGUGGAAAUGGGCAGUGGGACUGUGAAAGCCAUGCCUGCCUUCUGAACGGGGAACUGAUCGAUGCUGUCAACAGAGGGAAUUAUGGCUGGACAGCAUCCAACUACAGCCAGUUCUGGGGCUUGACUCUGGAAGAGGGGAUCCAGUACCGGCUGGGCACCAUCAAGCCUCCCACGGCCGUCAUGAAUAUGAACGAGCUGCAUAUGAACAUGGAUGCCAACGAGGUACUUCCGCCCCAUUUCAAUGCUGCUGAUAAAUGGUCUGGAAUGAUCCAUGAGCCACUGGACCAAGGAAACUGUGCUGGCUCUUGGGCCUUUUCUACUGCAGCGGUGGCCUCGGACCGAAUCUCCAUCCACUCCAUGGGGCACAUGACUCCUGCCUUGUCUCCCCAGAACCUCCUUUCCUGUAAUACCCGCCACCAGCAAGGUUGCAGUGGAGGCCGGAUUGAUGGGGCUUGGUGGUUUCUACGCAGGAGAGGAGUGGUGACAGAUGACUGUUAUCCUUUCAACAACCAAGACAAAGAUAGUUCUCCAGCAUCCCCUCCUUGCAUGAUGCACAGCCGAGCCACGGGCCGAGGGAAGAGGCAAGCCACGGCACGCUGCCCGAAUCCCCGGGCACACGCAAACGAUAUCUACCAGUCUACCCCUGCUUACCGACUCUCCUCCAGCGAGAAGGAGAUCAUGAAAGAGCUCAUGGAAAAUGGACCUGUGCAAGCCAUCAUGGAGGUGCACGAAGACUUUUUCAUGUACAGGAGUGGAGUUUAUCAGCAUACUCCUGUAGCGGCCGGAAAGCCAGAGCAGUACCGGCGGCAUGGCACCCAUUCUGUCAAAAUCACAGGGUGGGGAGAGGAGCAGACACCAGAUGGACGAAACCAGAAAUACUGGAUUGCUGCUAAUUCCUGGGGGAAGCACUGGGGCGAACAUGGCUACUUCCGGAUUGCCCGCGGCACCAACGAGUGUGAAAUAGAGACCUUUGUAGUGGGUGUCUGGGGCCGUGUUGCAAUGGAGGACAUGCACCACAAAAAGUGAGGAGCGCCCUGUCCCUUGUUAGCUCACCAGCACAAACUUCUUUCCUUCUGUAACCCCUGCCCACCACCUUCUCCAAAAAGUCUUGAGAUCCGCCACACAGCCAAUUCCCACCCUCGCAUCUGACUCCAAUGCGAACAGACACAAUCCGAUUUCUACACAGGACUUGGUGAGACCCAGAACUAUCCUUGAGGUUUGGAGUGUCAGCGGCUUCAGCCAGAUUCUCCUUGAGAACUCAAAAAACUGUGGCCAAGGAGGUAAUCCUGGGAUCAUUGGGAGGACAAAGAAAAGUUCUCCUGUCAGACCCUUCAUUCCAAAGCAAAAACAAACAGAUCAAGAGCGAACCAGGAAAGCCACAUACAAAACGGCAUGAAGACUGAGUAAGUGUGGGAUAACUCAAGCAACCAAGCCAAGCCCUGUACUAGAAGGAAGGGGUAUUCAGCCUCUCUCGUGCCUGUGGUUCCCAAAAAUGUCUUCCAUACCUCACCAGUUCCUUGCAGGAGACAUUUUGGAACUUUCACUUCCUCAAGCCUGGCCUUUCCCCGUGGUUGCCUCUUGAACGGAGACUGUUCCAAGGCAGCGAAAUCAGAGUUGGCAGCUUCUCACAGCAAACCUUUCUGACCUCAAGUAGGAUGGGCUAGCCUACCAGCUGCCCUCCCUCACACAUGUACACAAGCCAGUUUCUGUGGAGACCACAGGAGAACAAGCAGUCCUCAAAACUGCCUAAUAUAUAUCUUUACUCCCAGAGGGUUGCCUCUUUCCUCGCCUUUCCUCUGCCUGUACUUCCAUCACUUUUCCAACCUGUCCAGAGGAGAAAUUUCCAACUCUUGGGCAUGUCUAGGUAUCUCUGGGCAAACAGUGGAAUCAUCCCAGCAAAUCCAGAAGAGACAGACUUUGUCAUGCCCAGUUUCAGGAUCUGGUCAAGCAUUUUUAUCACUGGGCACCACCACACACAUUGGGCCUGUCCAGAAAGAAAGAUGUUGUUCAGAUUCUGAGUGAAAAGGGUAUGCAGAAGAGCACCAGUUUUUCCAGACAAGUCUAGAGUUUGUUGCAUUUUGGGAUGUAAUUUUUAACUCAUCCAUUCAUGACUGGUGGAAGUGCCAAGAGUGCGAUUGCAUAUCCAAGCCUGCGAUGGGCAAUGCAGAAAAGAUAGCAGAAGUUCUAGCCCUUCAGGACACAUUCGUACUCAUCACAAUUGGCUGUGGUGCAAUUUCUGGACUAAGAUGGUAGCACGGGAGCCAGGGAAGUAGUUUUUCACUCUUACCAUUCAAAUGUCUUGCUUCCUGUACUCUAUAGGCAGCAGUGCAAACAGCUGCCCAGGAGAGUGGAGGUAACAGGGUUAUCUCCCAGCCCAGCCCUGCGCUGAAGCCCCCAAGUCCACUACCCCGGGAGGGACUGAAGGUUGAACCACGGGGCCACCACUGGAAAUAGUGGCCUAAUGACCAUGUCUAUGUAACUUCCACUUACCUGUUUACUAUCAUUUUACUUUGUCCUUCCUUCUCAGCAUUCAGGGGGUCAUACCAUUUUUCUGUCUCCUCUGUUUUACCCUCACAACAACAGUCCUGUGAGGUAAGCUAGGCUGAGAGCGAGGCACUCAGUAACUUUCUUAUCAACUUGAGAUAUGAACCUGGGCCUCUCCAGUCUUAGUCUGACUCUGCAACCAUGCUGCAACUCUGGCCAUUUCCGCACAACCAAAAUAAAACAUUUUGAGGCAGGAAAUAAAAUGUGUCCUCCAAGGAGUUCCAUAACAUUUUUUAGCCAGAAUGUUUUAUUUCUAGACUGAAAACACUUUAAAUGGAUCCUGUUUUCUAGCAAUUCUUUUGUUGAAACAUUUUCAAAACGUUUUGACUUGCUGUGUGUAUCUCUUUAAGAUGUUUCCAACACCUCUCUGCAGUCUCCAGACUUCCUCCCCGGCACUAUUUUUUGAGUUUGCUCCAUUGUCUUGUCUAUUUUCAUCGGGGGGGGGGGUGUUGGGGGGGGGAGGCAGUGAUGUCUUUUAACUACGAAGACACAACCUCUGAAGAAUUGCAGCACAUGACUUUGAAGCAUCAAGGCAUAAGAUCCAUGGAGAAGUUUUUUUAAAAAACAUUGAAACUAUCAGAAAAUGGCUGCCAGGAAUCCUUUCAAGGGAGUGAGUGCAAAUAAACAGCAAGGGGGGUUUGAAAACGUUUUCAAUGACUUGUGCGGAAAUGGCCACUCUUGAUCUUUAAAGCUCCUGCCUGGAGCCACCCACAAACGAAGUGGUAAAAUUGCACAGCGGCGGUAUAUGCACAUGUUUGGCACAGAACUCCUGUGGAAUGUGUAACACCACCUGAAGACCCACAUGAGCUGCUGAAGGGAGACAGCUGCAGCCAACGGUGACUUAUCUCACACUGCCUGCAGCUUUCCGGAUAAAACGUUGGGCUGCUGGAGCAAGCUACAUUGAAUUCAGUGCCUUCCUGGUGCCAACGCCUCCUCUUCGCGACUGGAAAAUAGAACACUCUUGCUCUUCUCUGACUUCCCCGUGUCCAAAGGCAUGCACAUGUUUUAAUUUUUUUUUCAUGAGAUCCAUUGCAAAGAGUGUUUAUGAAGUUCUGCUGAUGUAGAGAGAUCUCUGUGCACCAGCCUGUGUAUGAUGUGGGUUGAAAGCAGCAUUGUGUUUACCCCUGCCCCUUUCUUUCGGGUCUUAACUCCUGUCCCUCAGCCCCUUGGACAGGAUGUGAGGGUCUUUGGGUGCUUAAUCCCCUGCCCUGGCUGAAUAAGCCCAUUGUGAAGGCAUGCCGCUCGCUUAAAGGGCCAAGCUUAGCCAUAAGUCACAACCGGUCCUGUCUGCUUCGCUAGCAGCUUGUAAACACUGAGCCGCCCCCUAUUCAUAUUAAAGAAGCGGAGAGGGAAAGUGCACACCGAUGUGCAGCGCAUUCACGCGUGUCCAAGGCGGCUGGGGCUUUAGACUGAGGGCCUGAGCCAGCAUUUCACAUGGUAGGAAGCCAGAACGUGCAGUCACCCAAGCGUGUGUUCCCAUAUACACACCAUGCCAAGAUCAAAGCAGAGCUGAGGGAGUAGAUAGGUAUUUUGUGGGGGUAUUUUGUGAGGCUCAGUUUUGGAGUCACUGAACCAAUAAACCUGUGUCCGGUCUGUGCUGCUUCAGACCACAGGUAAAAUUUCACACAAUGGAAUGCAUCUUCACACACUCCCACUUCCAAGUUCAUGACAUGGAAAACUAACAGGGCAAGGAGAUGGCUAAACUAGUCCCCUUCUGCCUGCCAUGUUAGCUUUCAUAGGGCAGGGAAGUUGGCUGUAUGCCGAAUCAUCCAGUCAUUUGCACCCUGCCCUGAAUUCCAGAAUGGAACAAUCCAGGGCCAGGUUGACAGGUGGAAAAAAACACCUCGGGCCUUGAUUUAAAUGAGACACAGGCAAAAGCACUUUCCUGUGGGACUCAGUCCUCAUUUCGUUUGAAUUGGGUUAUUGCUCAUGCAAAAACAGCCGUGUGCCAGUGUCAUGUUUAAAUUGGGCCGUAGGCUUUUGUGUCAAGUGGCAGCUGGGAUGUGCCAAGUUAGUCUGUCAGUGUUUGCUGUGGGGGGGGGGGGGGGGGGGAACCAGGGUGCAGUGAAGCUCUAGUUUACCAGCAUCCACAGUCCCUUCCGAAAACAAAUUUCCACCCUGUCUGCUCUGCAUUUGCCUAUGCUGUGCCAUCCACUUACACUGAGUCAGAGGUUCCCUACCCCUGAUCUAGGAAAAAUGUAGUCCCGGGAAAAAUCUGAGUUUUCCGCCC
Sphaerodactylus townsendi is the source of this 5543-nucleotide RNA transcript. It is a transcript of the gene named tubulointerstitial nephritis antigen like 1, with no coding region annotated. NCBI's taxonomy places the organism in Eukaryota, Metazoa, Chordata, Lepidosauria, Squamata, Sphaerodactylidae. The transcript is spliced from 13 exons. The record is from RefSeq and is a predicted model, not a curated record.